This 565-nucleotide ribosomal RNA is filed under the name Colletotrichum gloeosporioides. RNAcentral describes it as "LSU rRNA". It matches the Rfam family "Eukaryotic large subunit ribosomal RNA", at positions 1 to 575 of the family's 3401-position model. Lineage: Eukaryota; Fungi; Ascomycota; Sordariomycetes; Glomerellales; Glomerellaceae. The record is from RNAcentral.
GUUGACCUCGGAUCAGGUAGGAAUACCCGCUGAACUUAAGCAUAUCAAUAAGCGGAGGAAAAGAAACCAACAGGGAUUGCCUCAGUAACGGCGAGUGAAGCGGCAACAGCUCAAAUUUGAAAUCUGGCCCCAGGCCCGAGUUGUAAUUUGCAGAGGAUGCUUUUGGUGCGGUGCCUUCCAAGUUCCCUAGAACGGGACGCCAGAGAGGGUGAGAGCCCCGUACAGUUGGACACCAAGCCUUUGUAAAGCUCCUUCGACGAGUCGAGUAGUUUGGGAAUGCUGCUCAAAAUGGGAGGUAUAUUUCUUCUAAAGCUAAAUACCGGCCAGAGACCGAUAGCGCACAAGUAGAGUGAUCGAAAGAUGAAAAGCACUUUGAAAAGAGGGUUAAACAGCACGUGAAAUUGUUAAAAGGGAAGCGCUUGUGACCAGACUUGCGUCCGGUGAAUCACCCAGCUCUCGCGGCUGGGGCACUUCGCCGGCUCAGGCCAGCAUCAGCUCGCUGUCGGGGACAAAAGCUUCAGGAACGUAGCUCUCUUCGGGGAGUGUUAUAGCCUGUUGCACAAUA